GACGAACGCUGGCGGCGUGCCUAAUACAUGCCAGUCGAACGCUUCUUUCCUCCCGAGUGCUUGCACUCAAUUGGAAAGAGGAGUGGCGGACGGGUGAGUAACACUUGGGUAACCUACCCAUCAGCGUGGGAUAACCCUUGGAAACAGGUGCUAAUACCUCAUAACAGUUUAUGCCGCAUUGCAUAAGAGUGAAAGGCGCUUUCGGGUGUCGCUGAUGGAUGGACCCGCGGUGCAUUAGCUAGUUGGUGAGGUAACGGCUCACCAAGGCCACGAUGCAUAGCCGACCUGAGAGGGUGAUCGGCCACACUGGGACUGAGACACGGCCCAGACUCCUACGGGAGGCAGCAGUAGGGAAUCUUCGGCAAUGGACGAAAGUCUGACCGAGCAACGCCGCGUGAGUGAAGAAGGUUUUCGGAUCGUAAAACUCUGUUGUUAGAGAAGAACAAGGACGUUAGUAACUGAACGUCCCCUGACGGUAUCUAACCAGAAAGCCACGGCUAACUACGUG
This 508-nucleotide ribosomal RNA is filed under the name uncultured bacterium. RNAcentral's name for it is "partial 16S ribosomal RNA". It matches the Rfam family "Bacterial small subunit ribosomal RNA", at positions 28 to 507 of the family's 1533-position model. The record is from RNAcentral.